RNAcentral lists this ribosomal RNA (253 nucleotides) under uncultured bacterium. RNAcentral describes it as "partial 16S ribosomal RNA". It matches the Rfam family "Bacterial small subunit ribosomal RNA", at positions 524 to 776 of the family's 1533-position model. The record is from RNAcentral.
UACAGAGGGUGCUAGCGUUGUUCGGAAUCACUGGGCGUAAAGGGCGUGUAGGUGGCAAGGUGUGUCUGACGUGAAAGCCCUCGGCUUAACCGAGGAAGUGCGUCGGAAACUACCUAGCUCGAGUGCGAGAGAGGAUGGCGGAAUUCCCAGAGUAGAGGUGAAAUUCGUAGAUACUGGGAGGAACACCAGAGGCGAAGGCGGCCAUCUGGCUCGCAACUGACACUGAGACGCGAAAGCGCGGGGAGCAAACAGG